Molecule: ribosomal RNA, 305 nt
Filed under: uncultured bacterium
Lineage: Bacteria
Description: bacterial SSU rRNA
Rfam family: Bacterial small subunit ribosomal RNA
Source: RNAcentral
GCCUACGGGGCGCAGCAGUGGGGAAUAUUGGGCAAUGGGCGCAAGCCUGACCCAGCAACGCCGCGUGAAGGAAGAAGGCUUUCGGGUUGUAAACUUCUUUUGACAGGGAAGAGUAGAAGACGGUACCUGUCGAAUAAGCCACGGCUAACUACGUGCCAGCAGCCGCGGUAAUACGUAGGUGGCAAGCGUUAUCCGGAUUUACUGGGUGUAAAGGGAGCGUAGACGGCAGUGCAAGUCUGGAGUGAAAGGCGGGGGCUCAACCCCCGGACUGCUCUGGAAACUGUAUGGCUGGGGUGCAGGAGAGG